AGGCAGCAGUAGGGAAUAUUGCGCAAUGGGGGAAACCCUGACGCAGCAACGCCGCGUGGAGGAUGACACUUUUCGGAGCGUAAACUUCUUUUCUUAGGGAAGAAUUCUGACGGUACCUAAGGAAUAAGCACCGGCUAACUCCGUGCCAGCAGCCGCGGUAAUACGGAGGGUGCCAGC
This 177-nucleotide ribosomal RNA is filed under the name uncultured bacterium. Its description in RNAcentral is "partial 16S ribosomal RNA". It matches the Rfam family "Bacterial small subunit ribosomal RNA", at positions 346 to 539 of the family's 1533-position model. The record is from RNAcentral.